UUGUAGCCUGCUAUGGUAUAACUUAGUGGCAGACGGGUGAGUAAUGUAUAGGAAUCUACCUAGUAGUACGGAAUAAUUGUUGGAAACGGCAACUAAUACCGUAUACGCCCUACGGGGGAAAAAUUUAUUGCUAUUAGAUGAGCCUAUAUUAGAUUAGCUAGUUGGUGGAGUAAUAGCCUACCAAGGCAAUGAUCUAUAGCUGAUCUGAGAGGAUGAUCAGCCACACUGGAACUGAGAUACGGUCCAGACUCCUACGGGAGGCAGCAGUGGGGAAUAUUGGACAAUGGGCGAAAGCCUGAUCCAGCCAUGCCGCAUGAGUGAAGAAGGCCUUUGGGUUGUAAAGCUCUUUUAGUGAGGAAGAUAAUGACGGUACUCACAGAAGAAGUCCUGGCUAACUCCGUGCCAGCAGCCGCGGUAAUACGGAGAGGGCUAGCGUUAUUCGGAAUUAUUGGGCGUAAAGGGCGCGUAGGCUGAUUAAUAAGUUAAAAGUGAAAUCCCGAGGCUUAACCUUGGAAUUGCUUUUAAAACUAUUAAUCUAGAGAUUGAAAGAGGAUAGAGGAAUUCCUGAUGUAGAGGUAAAAUUCGUAAAUAUUAGGAGGAACACCAGUGGCGAAGGCGUCUAUCUGGUUCAAAUCUGACGCUGAGGCGCGAAGGCGUGGGGAGCAAACAGGAUUAGAUACCCUGGUAGUCCACGCUGUAAACGAUGAAUGUUAAAUAUAAGAAGUUUACUUUCUGUAUUACAGCUAACGCGUUAAACAUUCCGCCUGGGGACUACGGUCGCAAGAUUAAAACUCAAAGGAAUUGACGGGGACCCGCACAAGCGGUGGAGCAUGUGGUUUAAUUCGAUGCAACGCGAAAAACCUUACCACUUCUUGACAUGAAAAUCAUACCUAUUC
Molecule: ribosomal RNA, 896 nt
Filed under: Wolbachia endosymbiont of Tetranychina harti
Lineage: Bacteria; Pseudomonadati; Pseudomonadota; Alphaproteobacteria; Rickettsiales; Anaplasmataceae
Description: bacterial SSU rRNA
Rfam family: Bacterial small subunit ribosomal RNA
Source: RNAcentral